Molecule: ribosomal RNA, 510 nt
Filed under: uncultured bacterium
Lineage: Bacteria
Description: partial 16S ribosomal RNA
Rfam family: Bacterial small subunit ribosomal RNA
Source: RNAcentral
GACGAACGCUGGCGGCGUGCUUAACACAUGCAAGUCGAACGAAGAGCGAUGGAAGCUUGCUUCUAUCAAUCUUAGUGGCGAACGGGUGAGUAACGCGUAAUCAACCUGCCCUUCAGAGGGGGACAACAGUUGGAAACGACUGCUAAUACCGCAUACGAUCUAAUCUCGGCAUCGAGGAUAGAUGAAAGGUGGCCUCUACAUGUAAGCUAUCACUGAAGGAGGGGAUUGCGGCUGAUUAGCUAGUUGGAGAGGUAACGGCCCACCAAGGCGAUGAUCAGUAGCCGGUCUGAGAGGAUGAACGGCCACAUUGGGACUGAGACCCGGCCCAGACUCCUACGGGAGGCAGCAGUGGGGAAUCUUCCGCAAUGGACGAAAGUCUGACGGAGCAACGCCGCGUGAGUGAUGACGGCCUUCGGGUUGUAAAGCUCUGUUAAUCGGGACGAAAGGCCUUCUUGCGAACAGUUAGAAGGAUUGACGGUACCGGAAUAGAAAGCCACGGCUAACUACGUG